Long non-coding RNA from Melitaea cinxia (Glanville fritillary), 251 nucleotides. RefSeq lists it as uncharacterized. The transcript has 2 exons. NCBI's taxonomy places the organism in Eukaryota, Metazoa, Arthropoda, Insecta, Lepidoptera, Nymphalidae. The record is from RefSeq and is a predicted model, not a curated record.
UUCUUACAGGUGACGGCGGUUGAAAAGAGCAGUAGUGUCAUGUCCGCCAUAUUUUUUACUUCGCGUGGUGUUCUCUUAAAACGUAUAAGGGCUGAACACUGGGUUCAUCAAGGCUGAUUACUGGAUUUUAGAGGCUGACCACUGGCAAAAAGUGCCAUAUUUUGUUUGAAUUUAUAUAUAUAUAUUGUAAAGAGAAAGGUUGUUUUUGACAUAUGUUGUUUAAAAACUAUAAUAAACAAUUAAUCUAAUCA